GAAAGCAAUAUUAUUGAAUCAGUUCAUCCUAAACAUUUGCACUUUGUUUUUCCACAGAGCAAUAAGACAUUAGAAUUGACAGAGAAACCAGACAAGGGGACUGCAUUUGAAGAAGCACAAGAACCAAGAAAUUACAUCAUUCAAUGAGGAAAUGACAACAUAAUCUAAAAUAGAAAUAAAAAACGUCACAAGACAGAAUAGUGAGCUGCAUGCACUUAUCACAGAGUAUAAAGUCACUCCCUCAGAGGAAAAAGACAAGGAUGGCAUGUCUUCAUGUGAGAACUCAGAAGCUAAAUGUACAGAUACCAAAGGGGGA
Long non-coding RNA from Scylla paramamosain (green mud crab), 316 nucleotides. RefSeq lists it as uncharacterized. The record is from RefSeq and is a predicted model, not a curated record. NCBI's taxonomy places the organism in Eukaryota, Metazoa, Arthropoda, Malacostraca, Decapoda, Portunidae. The transcript is spliced from 3 exons.